This 498-nucleotide ribosomal RNA is filed under the name uncultured bacterium. Its description in RNAcentral is "bacterial SSU rRNA". It matches the Rfam family "Bacterial small subunit ribosomal RNA", at positions 21 to 507 of the family's 1533-position model. The record is from RNAcentral.
GGCUCAGGAUGAACGCUAGCUACAGGCUUAACACAUGCAAGUCGCGGGGCAGCAUUUCCUUAGCUUGCUAAGGAAGAUGGCGACCGGCGCACGGGUGAGUAACGCGUAUCCAACCUUCCCAUGUCCACGGGAUAGCCCGUCGAAAGGCGGAUUAAUACCGUAUGAGGUCACAUGCGGGCAUCUAAGUGUGACGAAAGGUUUUUGCGGACAUGGAUGGGGAUGCGUCCGAUUAGUUAGUUGGUGGGGUAAUGGCCUACCAAGACGAUGAUACGUAGCCGACCUGAGAGGGUGAUCGGCCACAUUGGGACUGAGACACGGUCCAAACUCCUACGGGAGGCAGCAGUGAGGAAUAUUGGUCAAUGGGCGAGAGCCUGAACCAGCCAAGUAGCGUGCAGGAAGACGGCCCUAUGGGUUGUAAACUGCUUUUAUAAGGGAAUAAAGUGGGUCUCGUGAGACUUUUUGCAUGUACCUUAUGAAUAAGGACCGGCUAAUUCCGUG